This 500-nucleotide ribosomal RNA is filed under the name uncultured bacterium. RNAcentral describes it as "partial 16S ribosomal RNA". It matches the Rfam family "Bacterial small subunit ribosomal RNA", at positions 28 to 507 of the family's 1533-position model. The record is from RNAcentral.
GACGAACGCUGGCGGCGUGCCUAAUACAUGCAAGUCGAGCGGACUUUCCGGAAUCUUUGCCCUCCGGCGGGUGCGCGGCGGGCGGGUGAGACACACGUAGGCAACCCUCCUAUUAGACCGGGAUUACCGUCGGAAACGAAUGCAUAUACCAGAAUAUCUGCCCCCGCGCAUGUGGGGAGCGGGAAAGGCGUUGCAAGCUGCCGCUUGUGGAUGGCCCUGCGGCGCAUUAGCUGGGUGGUGGGGUAACGGCCCACCAAGGCGACGAUGCGUAGCCGACCUGAGAGGGUGAUCGGCCACACUGGAACUGAGACACGGUCCAGACUCCUACGGGAGGCAGCAGUAGGGAAUCUUCCGCAAAGGGCGCAAGCCUGACGGAGCAACGCCGCGUGAGUGAGGAAGGCCUUCGGGUCGUAAAGCUCUGUUGUCAGGGAAGAACAGGUGGGGGAGUAACUGCCCCUGCCAUGACGGUACCUGAGAAGAAAGCCCCGGCUAACUACGUG